RNAcentral lists this ribosomal RNA (492 nucleotides) under uncultured bacterium. RNAcentral describes it as "partial 16S ribosomal RNA". It matches the Rfam family "Bacterial small subunit ribosomal RNA", at positions 28 to 507 of the family's 1533-position model. The record is from RNAcentral.
GACGAACGCUGGCGGCGUGCUUAACACAUGCAAGUCGAACGGUGAAGGGACCGGUUUUUGCUGGUUCUGGAUGAGUGGCGAACGGGUGAGUAACACGUGAGUAACCUGCCCCCUUCUUCUGGAUAACCGCAUGAAAGUGUGGCUAAUACGGGAUAUUCUGCGCCUGCUGCAUGGUGGGUGUGGGAAAGAUAUUGUUUCGGUGGGGGAUGGGCUCGCGGCCUAUCAGCUUGUUGGUGGGGUGAUGGCUACCAAGGCGGUGACGGGUAGCCGGCCUGAGAGGGUGGACGGUCACACUGGGACUGAGACACGGCCCAGACUCCUACGGGAGGCAGCAGUGGGGAAUAUUGCACAAUGGGCGCAAGCCUGAUGCAGCGACGCCGCGUGAGGGAUGGAGGCCUUCGGGUUGUAAACCUCUUUCGCCAGUGAAGCAGGCCUGUCCCUUUUGUGGGUGGGUUGACGGUAGCUGGAUAAGAAGCGCCGGCUAACUACGUG